Molecule: long non-coding RNA, 6306 nt
Filed under: Homo sapiens (human)
Lineage: Eukaryota; Metazoa; Chordata; Mammalia; Primates; Hominidae
Description: HSALNT0150059
Source: RNAcentral
GGCCUCGAGGCUCCUGGCAGCCUGCCCGUUUGGCAGCCUCUGCCAGAACAGUCCGUGGAGUACAGACUGCUCCCUGUCUUCUCCCAGUCUGGUCCCUGGAGAGACUCCAAUCUCCCUGCUCGAGUCCUUCCCUUUUCUGCUUAUCAUGGGGAAGGAAUAUGCGUCUAGGCGUUAAAUCGCUCGAGUGCCAGCUGGCACAGCACAGCCACAGGGCCCCAGCAGGAGCGGGCCUCAGUUCUCAGAGAGCUGCACAAAGACCAAAGCAAAUUUAUUACUGUUUUUCAGUUUACAAAUGGGAAAUCCACAACAUUGGUCAAGAAGAAAAGGCACCAUGAAUGGGAAGACCGAAGUGCAGACAACCAGCUGGAACAAGGGUGAAAAUAUAGGAGAUUACGAUCCAUUCCUGGGUGGACGGCCAGCGUUCCAUCUUCACUAACACGAUAUAGUUGAAGAGCAUCAGGUAUCCGAUAUACGCCAGCUGUAAGGAGACACAAUACAGUGCUCUGGCUGUUCAGGCCCAGGAGCCCCAGCAUCAGCCAAGGCCACUGCACAGCAGCACAGAGCAGGGUCAGCAAGCAGGACACAGACUUUAUGACAAAAGGAACUUGAAGGUGCUAAACUAACAAAAGAAUUAGAAAAGACAGUAAUACUUGAAGGAUUAUAAUAUGCAAUCUUCCUUUUGACCUGUACAUGUAUCUCUGGGGCUCUGGUGCUUCGUUUAAAUCUAUGUGUCAUGAUGCAUCAUUUCGCCUUGCAGUUACCCAUUUUUGUGUGUUUUCUUGGCUAAAAAGGGAGCCUUGGCUGUCAGUGGCGGCUCUUGCUCAGGCGUGGACCUUAGGUUCUUAAACUAGGGCAGCACAGUGGAUUUUUGCCUCACGAAUGCCAGGCAGAAUAAGUGUCUGUGAGAAGCAAAGGAAGAGGAAGACACAUGUAACACCUGUAAAUUGGUCAAACCAACAUAAAAAUAGCCCAGGCUUAAAGUGCUUCGCUUGUCAGUGCCCUGGGAGGGUCUUACCUGUUUUCAUUUCACCACUUUCCUGUCCUAAUCAAGUUAAGAUAAGAUAUUCCUUCCUGGUGUCUGCUUCAUUGAAACAACACAAGAAAAGACAACACAGUUUACAGAAAGGAAAGGGUCCGUGUGGCCUUUUGUGGACGGGUGUGGGGUUUAAUCCCCAAGAGGCUCUGGCUCGUGGGGUUGAAUCCUGAUGUGACUGGCUGAAUUGCUGGAUGUCUGGGAAGAACUCCCUAGGGUUUGGUGACUGCUCCUGGAAGAUUCAGUUGUGUCAAGGUGAGUGAAGUGCAGGGAAACUGGUGGCUCUUGCAUAAGGGGCUGAGGAGCCUUGAGAGAAGACUCACUCACCUUAAGGGAAAUGGCAGACUAGCUGGGCCUUCCUUACACAAUGCCUCAAGUCAAGUGAGGUACUCACUGGCCUUAGGGGCCUCAGGGGCUGUGAGCAGGAACCAAGAGGGAGUUUAUUAACUAAAAUCUGCUGCACUCUUCAGAGUGGUGUAGCAAAGAAUAGACACAGUGUGGGUGAAAGGAUUGAGGCCUUGAGGGGUCUGGAGGUACUGCAUGACUUUGUAGCUGGGAAGGCAGCUUAGAAGGUGGAGGAAGCUGCAGCCUUGCUGGGGGAUAUGCUGCUUUCUCUACUAAUUCUCUUAUGUUUUGGGACAGGGUCUCACUCUCGUCACCCAGGCUGGAGUGCAGUGGCAUUGUGAUCUCGGCUCAUUGUAGCAUUGACUUCCUGGGCUCAGGUAAUUCUCCUACUUCAGCCUCCUGGGUAGCUGGGAUAACAGGCACGUGCCACCACACCCAGCUAAGUUUUUGUAUUUUUAGUGGAGACAGCAUCUCACUUUGUUGGCCAGGCUGAUCUCAAACUCCUGGGCUCAAGAGAUCCUCCUAUCUAUCUUGGCCUCCCAAAAUGCUGGGAUUAUAGGCAUGAGCCACCAUGCUCAGCUGAAUGGAUUCUUCUUUUUUUUUGGAGACUGAGUCUCACUCUAUUGCCCAGGCUGGAGUGCAGUGGUGCGAUCUCGGCUUUCUGCAAACCUCUUCCUGGGUUCAAGCGAUUCUCGUGCCUCAGCCUCCGGAGUAGCUGGGAUUACAGGCACCCAUUACCACGUCUGGCUAAUUUUUGUAUUUUUAGUAGAGACUGAGGUUUCAUCAUGUUGGCCAGGCUGGUCUUGAAUUCCUGACCUCAAGUGAUCUGCCCGCCUCGGCCUCCUAAAGUGCUGGGAUUACAGGUGUGAGCCACUGCGCCUCGCCUAAAUAGAGUCUUAAUAUGACUCCAAGGUAUCUCUGAGACCCCAUCACACUGACACAUUUGCAGACACAACUGUUGCACAAAAGUCCCUCAUCUCUUAAAGGGUGAAGUAUGUCGGAGUUAAAUAAGAUCACUUAUGAGAGCUGGAUAUCUGGGCUCACUCUCUACAUGCAUGGUUUGUGCUGGCACACCCCCACCCCCACCCCCAGGGGCCUAUCAUUUCAACCUAUGCCUAAGUUCCUACCCCUCCCCAUCUUCAGGAGCAUUGGCAAAUCAUGAAAACUUCUCAUGAAGGAGUUUACUUAAAAUUGUGUAGGACGCUGUUUAAAAAUCAGUUCAAAAUGGAACUUGGUUCAUAUGGUUUCCGUUUACCAUUAUUAUACACUGGCAUUAAUUCUGUAGUCCUGUGAGUACAGACUGCAAAAAACAAAAAAAGGACUUUAGUGGUUAAAACUCUAAAAUAUACUCUCAGCCUCCUUCUGACUUGAACUCUUUCCCUCUCCUUGUUGCUUCCUUCUCUUAGUUGGGUCAAAUUCCAUCACUUGUAGGUGAAAUGAAUAUUGUUAACUGCCCUGGUUUUAUCAUUUUGCCCAAAUGAUUGCAAAACAUUCCAAAGCAUUAUCUUCUCUUGUCAUAUGUAGGCCUAGUGACAUGCACAUUCUUCCAGAACCUCUGCAUUUUAAUACUUAAGUAACUCCUUAAACCUAUUUUAAUGCUUAAGUAACUCCUUGAACCUACAUCUGUCCUCUGAAUACAAGUCUAAUGUGUUCAGUGGAAGGAAGGUAGGCAUAGAUAUCAGUGAAGCUUGGAUUUAAAUCUCAGCUCACAUACUUCCUAGCUGUAUCACCUUUUGUAAUGUUAACCUGCCUGGGCCUCCAUUCUGUAACAUGGGAUCACUUCCACUUUCCUUAUAGGGCCUUUAUAAUGACUGGGGAUCUAUAUAUCUAUCUAUCUGUCUGUCUGUAUCUCCCAACACACUGUAGAGGCCCAAUAAAUGCUGGCUGAUAUUAUUCUGUUAUUCUUUUUGUCUCCUCUUCCCUUAGUCCUUACUUCCCUUUGAUCCCCAAUUAACUGUUCACACCUCUCUUCUUUUUUUUUAAAUUGCCCUCAUUAUUGGUUAUGUUUCCUCCACUUUCAUCAUUUUUAGCCCCUGCCUGUUUUUUACAUCACAGUUAUUCUAUAAUGAACUUUUCCCAUAGUCAAGCUAUAAUAUAAUAUUUUGGGACAACUCUCAAAAUACAGACUUCUGAAAAUAGGGUCUUAUGUUUAGAUGGCAUAACAGAGGACUGGCUGCUGUCCUGGAAGCAGCCUAUCAUAGAACUCACCAACAUUCAUGCAGCCUUGCUGUAGAUUAUCUUGACAUGACAUGCUUUAAUUGUGUGUGUGUGUGUGUGUGUGUAUAUAUAUAUAUAUAUGUAUACUCUGUAAGGUUUAGCAACCUGUAUGUAGAAUUUCCAAGCUUUUGAACCUGUGAGUCUUAUUUAAGUAAGUCAGUAGGAGAACUCUAAGAAUUUGUAUUUUAUUAACAUAUAUUCUUUCUAUGCAUUUUCCAUUAACUAAGAUUCAUGCUUCUUAAACUAACUAUCAAACACAAGCACUAAAGCCUGACACAGUUUGCUAUGGAUCCCUGGUGGGGCUUUGCUCUUCCUCACUUCUUCCUGGGCCUUUUUCUACUACCUCUGGAGAGCAGAGGGGCACAUGGUCUUGUAGAGGAUAGAGUUGGUCACUACUAGAGAAACUCAGAGCACACACUGUGUCCUCUGACCUGCAGCCACUUCACACCUUGAAUUUGAAUCCUCUCCAGAUGGAUACCUGAAAUAGGCUCUCAAAACAAGCAGGGUCUAGGAGCCAGUUGGACCCCUGCCUCCUUUCUUCUUGGACCAGAAGAGGACCCAAUCUGCUCCUAGAGAAACUUGCUACGAUGCAGAAGUGAGGUUAUAUGGAAAUGAAGUGUGUCCUACCUUUCAGAAACUUGGGAGAGUAGGAGAGACCAUUUUUGAAAAUCUGGUGAGAAAUACUCUUACAGAGAAAAACACAGCCCAAAGCACAUGGGACCUUCAAUCUGAAAUUGAAUUGUACUGUUAAGCAUGUCUGGUGAUUCAAAAGACUGGCAUACCUUAUUUCCAGUCACUUCCUCGAGGCCUGGGCUUUGUCAAUAUGUGAAGAUGAAUUUUGGAGAAUCAUGUAAACACAAUUGAACAGAUCUGGGGGAUCCAGUCUGAUGGGUUUGCUGAGGCCAAUCCAGUCAGCCACGCAGAAGUGUGCUGGACACACAGGCCCCACCACCCCCCGCCAAAGAGGCAGCCUCCCAACAAGCUGCCAAUGACAUAAGCAAAGCAGCGUGUCUCAAGUGUCUCCAAUCAUAAGAUUCGCCUGGGAAGCUGGUUAAACUAACACAGCCUCUUAGGCUCCUUCCUGAAGACUGGAUUCCAUGGGUCUAUGAUGGGGCUAGAAAUUUGCAUUUCUAACAAAACUCCCUUGUCAUCAUGGACGUUUUAGAGAUAUUGAUACUAUUAUUUCUACUGAUUUCUGCUCUCGGGAGUCUGUAAACUUUUUCUGCAAAUGGCCAACUGGUUAACUUUUAAGGCUUUGUAGAACCGAUAGUCUCUCUCUGUCUCUCACUACUCAUCAACUUGAUGUGGUAGCACAAAAGCAGUCAGUCAGCCUAUUGCUAAUGGUAAAUGAGAUUUAGCCUAAAGCUGCCUCCUUAAGUUCGGCCUGAAGUUUUCUCUGUACAUUGUGAACUAUAACAAAUGAAGGUGUAACAAGACCAAUCACCGAGUUUCGGUCAAUCAAAUGUAGCCAACUGCUCAAACUGUGUUCAAAUAAGGCAAACGCUGAGCUGUAACCAAUCCAGCUGUUUCUGUACCUCACUUCCGUUUUCUGUAUGCCACUUCCCUUUUUCUGUCCAUAAAUCUUCCACCACGUGGCCCUGCCAGAGUCUCUGAGCCUACUCUGGCUUGGAAGACUGCCCAAUUCACGAAUCGUUCAUUUGCUCAAUUAAACUCCUUUAAAUUUAUUCGGCUCAAGUUUUUCUUUUAACAGAAAUCAAGAGUCUGCCUGUGUUCCAAUUAUUUAUGGACACUAAAAUUUGAAUAUGUGUUUCAAGUAUUCCUUUUCAAAUUUUAUUAAAAAUGUAAAAACCAUUCUCAGUUCGCAGGCCACAAUCACAGGCCAUGGGUUGAAUUUGGCUCAAAAGCUGUAGUUUGCCAAGCCCUGUUCUAAGCUAACAGUUGGGGAAUCAUAAUAUAAAAGGAAGGACAGACCUGGGUGUGAAAUAGCUGCAAAAAUAUUAUCUCGGGCUGGGCGCAGUGGUUAUUGCCUGUAAUCCCAGCACUUUGGUAGGCUGAGGCAGGCCCAUAGCUUGAGGCCAGCAGUUCAAGACCAGCCUGGCCAACGUGGCAAAACCCCAUCUCUACUAAAAAUACAAAAAUUAAUUAGCCAGGUGUGGUGGUGAACACCUGUAAUCCCAGCUACUCGGGAGGCUGAGACAUGAGACUCACUUGAAUCCAGGAGAUGGAGGUUGCAGUGAGCCAAGAUUGUACCACUGCACUCCAGCCUAGGUGACAGAGUAAGAGUUUGUCUCCUAAAUAAAUAAAUAUUAUCUUGAUAAAAUAGUUGUUAGGAUUACAAAGAGUACUUAAAUAAUAGUACCUAGAACAUUGCCUCAAACUUAGUAGGUGCUCAAUAAAAGAAAGAUAUUAUUUUUGUUGAGUGGAUGUAUGAACACAACACUGAUUAUCUAUUGCUGGGCAACGUGAAUAGCCUAGAAGAAACAAUAGUCACAGUUACAUUGUACUUAUAUGUCAAGGAACUGUUCUAAGUGCUUUACAUGUUUUAACACAUUUAAUCUUGAUUAAAUCCUAUAAAAUCGGAACUACUAUUAUUGGCAUCUUAAGAAAACUGUGGACAGAAGGGGAAAUUAAGUUGUUUGAGGGCACAUGGUAAGAGGUGCAGAUGGGAUUCCCACCCAGGCUGUCUGAUUCCAAAGUCCAUGCUUGUCACCACUAAGCUGUUUUCUGCAAGGUUAAAAAUAAUAUAGAGC